Molecule: long non-coding RNA, 2821 nt
Organism: Cyprinus carpio carpio
Lineage: Eukaryota; Metazoa; Chordata; Actinopteri; Cypriniformes; Cyprinidae
Source: Ensembl
CUACAGUAUAGCCCCAUCAAGCCCCACCCUACCAUCGCCACUGCUGUCAUACUAUGAAUGAGAACAAUUCAGACAGAAUCCUGACUGUUUAAAUUUAGCCCUCUAAAUUGGGCAGAACAGUUUUUCUCUGCACUUCAUCCAGAGAAUAAUUCACCAGGAAGAAAGGAGAUAGACCAGAGACAGAGCAGACUCUGACAGAGGUUAGAGGUUAAUGCAUAAGCAAGGUCCUUCUUUAAGAUGUGCCUGUUGAAUAAUUCAAAAGAGCUUUUGGCUACAGUCCAUUUACAAGGAUUGAGGUUUCAAUCUAUAAACAGGGGCAUUUCAAAAUGAACAAAUUCCACCAAGUGCAAGAUUUCUAAAUCAGUAGAAAUGAUCAGAAAUUCAAGCUCAAAAUAGGUACUGUAUGUGACGAGUGGGGUGGGGCCGAGAGCCGUGGGAACAGAGCGAGGCCGGUGGAGUGAUUGGGAAAUGAGCGACCAGUCUCGAGUCCCACGGAGGAGAUUGGGAGGAUACAAAAGAGGAGCGACGACAGUGAAGGAUAAGAGAGGACCAGGCCUGGGUUUUAUUUUGUGGUUUGGUUUUUGUUUGUGCGCGGCAGUCGACCGUGAGGGGCUGUCGCACUGUUUUAUCUUUAUUUGGUUAUUAAAGUUUUAUUUGAAUGUCCGCCGGUUCCCGCCUCCUUCUUCCCGUAAUUAUGGAGUUUUUAUAUGUUACACUGUAAUAAUAAAGUUCUACAGUAUUUGGUUAGUAUAUGUUAUUUCUUCACUGACUACAACUAUUUUAACACAUUAUACUCAAUACCUUUUUUAACAAAUGUAACACUAGUGUCCCAGUGUUUUUUUUUUUUGCUUGUACAGCCUAUUUUUGCAUGUAUGUAAAUAUAGGUUGUGAUUUCCUCUGUUAAAUCACUGUGCAAUAAAACACUGUCUACAUAAAACAACUUUAAAUAUGACAAUGCGUGUAUUGUCUUUGAUUGAAAUGGAAGAAAAAUAAAAUAAAAAAGAGAGCUCUUUAAUAUUUCAGAUUUAGAUGAGAUUCUCUUGCUAAGGAGAAAUAUCUGAGCACAGUGUGUGAUGUUGUUGAGAUCUAUUGUAAAGCUUUAAAGAAGACCAUUGUGGGAGUGUUAGAGUUUUUGUCUCAGGAGACAAGUUUGAGAAACAGGAGACUCAAGCAAAAGUUUCCAUUCAAUCUUAAAGUGUUAGUUCACCCAAAUAUGAUAAUUCUGUCAUUAAUUACUCACCCUCAUGUCGUUUCAAACCUGUAAGACCUUCAUUCAUCUUCGGAACACAAAUUAAGAUUUUUUUCUAUAGAAUCUGGAGCUGUCAGUGGUUUAUCCGCAAUUAUAUGAAGCUACGAGAAUACAUUUUGUGCACAAAAAAAAAAAAAAAAGAAAAAAAGACUUUAUUCAACAAUAUGUCUCAUCCGCAUUACCCUGGUGCCAUUUUGGAGAAUAUCUCAGCUGCAUAACACCGAUACGCUGUUUCUGUUCAGACUAAAUCACAACAAUGUAGGAAAAAGUUCCGGCAUGACGCAGCUGAAAUAUUCUCCAAAAUGGCACCAGGGUGAUGCGGAGGAUACGAAUUGUUGAAUAAAGUCAUUAUUUUUUUUUUUUCUUUUGUGAACAAAAAUAUUCUCGUAGCUUCGUAUAAUUGCGGAUGAACCACUGAUGUCACAUGGAUUAAUUCACAAAUCUCCUUGCUACGUUUCUGGAUUUGGGAACAUUUCAGUUGCACUGCUGUCUAUGCAGGGUCAGACAGCUCCAGAUUCCAUCGGAAAAAAAAAUGAUAACCCCCUAGAUUCAAUAUGAAACUCUUAGUAAAACAAAAUAGUGGUCAUAAUCAUGCUGAAGCUGUGUAGUUGUAAAAGUUUUUAAUAUAUGCUGACUUGCAAAUAUGAUCUGCUCCAUGCGAUCGCGUCUCUGGACUGGAGCCAAAGUCCGGAUCAGACUGUGUGUGCUGCCGCAGUUCAUGUGAAACAACGUGAAACCAGACCUCAUUUGCACCAAUUGAAAGCUUAUUUACACUGUCUGAAUCAUUUCCUAUCGCCUACAUUGUGCACUACGAGUCAUUCACUGUACAGGAAAUACUAUACUGUGAACAAGUGACCGAUCUCAGCCAAGGCUUCAGUUCCGUGCAGGGGGCGGGCGCUUCAGAUUCUAGAGAGCAUUUGAUUGGUCAGAAGAUUUAAUGAGAAGAUGAAGUACGAUGUGACGUCAAAAAAAAAAAAAAAAAAAUUUCAGAAAAUUUAAAAAAAGUUGAGCCGUUUUGGCGUAAGUGACGAACUGCAAGCUUCAAAUGCUUAUAUCUUCUAAAUGCGAAUUUUGUCACUGUUUUGUAGCACACUACAUUAUAAGUAACCUUAAGAUAAUAUUGAUACUAACACCCAAAAAACUUUCAUUUUGAUUUCAUGGGGACUUUAUUGUUAUCCGAUUCAAUGAAAAAAAAUAUAUAUAUAUACACAUGACAAACUAAAAUAUUUUGUUAAUAAUAUAUAUAUAUAUAGUUUGAAUAAACAUUGCAACCAAUGCUUGGGACGACCCACUUAAAUGAGCAAAAAUGCUUUACUUAUCUUUAAAUACUAAUUUCUAAACAUUAAACAUUGACUGUCAGUCUUUAUUCACCUGUUUCUCGUUGUUUCUCAUUAAAAUUCAUUAACGUAAAUAGUGUAAAUUACAUCGCUAAUGUCAUAGAAUAGCACAAACGCAGUGUUACAACAUGCCGCAUCUGCGCAACUGGAAUUUAAAACUCGUUAGUGUCUUCUGCUAGUUAUCAAAGCAUUAAAAAACAAUCUGAAGUGAUAAAUAACAGAUUGGAGAUUAAAA